UUUACCUACAGCGAGAAAGUCACCCAGUGGUCGUCUGCAGCAUCUGCCAACGGAAGCAUUAGCCUUGGCUCACAUGGCUCAGACCUCCCGUGGGCUUCUGUCAUUGCAGGAUGACCACCCGGAGCAUAUGUACUGAGCUACAGCGGUGUCACACAUGUGGCCUCGUCUCAUCAAUCGUUCCCCAUAUAGGGGCCACCGUCACUGUCCUAUUUUAUGCUCCAUCCAGAGGCUCAGAAGAGGCGAGUGGCUACCCCAAGGUCACAUAGCUGAUCAGUUGUGCUACUGGGAUCCCAAGUCAGGUUGUCUUGAGUCCAGAACCCACCCUCCCUGCCUCUCCAAGGCCAGGCCCCCAUGACUCCUGCUG
RNAcentral lists this long non-coding RNA (364 nucleotides) under Heterocephalus glaber (naked mole-rat). RNAcentral describes it as "lncRNA (ENSHGLG00000037396.1)". Lineage: Eukaryota; Metazoa; Chordata; Mammalia; Rodentia; Bathyergidae. The record is from RNAcentral.